AAGCAGCAAAUUACUCAGGUUGGAGUGCAGGCUGGGAACCUGAAGGCCACAGGGUUGAUGGGCAGCCUGGGACAAGCACAGAGAGUCCCAGACAGUGGGACAAACCUGUAGGCUAUGAGCAGCCACUGGAGCCUUUUGAGAAGUGACGUGAGCAAGAAUGUGGGUUACAGCUUGGGAUUUGGGAAAGAGGCUGCUCAGGGGCCGCCAGCUGAUUGGUCAGUUCAACAGCUCAGAGGAAGAGUGUGGAAGGUGCUCGCAGAGGUGGUGGCAGAGGUGCAAAGGAAGGGGACACGAGGCCCCUUAUAAUGCAUGUGGAGGGCUGGCUGGCUAUGGGAGGCAGGCAGGGAGCUGUUCCCAGCAGAUGGGUGGGCAGAGCAGAUGGCUGCCUUAGCUCCAGCUUGACUGGCAAGACCAGGUGAGCUGAGGUUCUUCCUGGCUGAGAAUGGUAUGAGUGCCUAGCAUCUGUGGGCUCUUCAAUGGGCAAGGACAGGAAAGAAAGGAUUGCUGAUUGGGGUAGAAGGAAGUGGCAGAGCAGAUGGGGAGUGGAAGGCACUUACAUAUUUGCAUGAAGAGGUAAAAACAUGGGCAAUGUGAGUGGUGGACGAAUAGAGAGCCGGAAGGCAGAGGUGAUGCUGACCUUGGCUCAUCUGAGGACCUCUGUCAUCAGCUGCUACAAGAGUUUGGGGGGGAAUCUGGCAGCAGAGAGCGGGCUCAGAGACCUACCAGACGCUCUGCGGAUCCGGAGCACGUGGAAAUGCAGACUGUGACCGGAAUACGAGAGUCCACGAGACUCACCCCCAGGACUGCCCGGGACCUGGCCGGGUCCAACGCACGCACGGAAAAGGGGCCCCCAGAGUUCAUGAGCUGAGCAGAUUUACGUCUGAGUCAUAAUAUUUAUAACAAUAAAUGAUUCACGAGAUGGCCAGGGCCCUCUGCAGCCCUCCCUGACAAUCGUGGACCAACAAACACGCACUCGCCCAGUAAAAACAAGGGGGGGGGGGCGAGGAGGCCCCACCGACGGGCUCCCCAUUACUCUAAUGUAAUCAGAAGAACAUUAAACAUUUCCAAAGUCUCCUCUCUUUUCCAUGGCUGAUUAAGCAGU
Ictidomys tridecemlineatus (thirteen-lined ground squirrel) is the source of this 1102-nucleotide non-coding RNA. Lineage: Eukaryota; Metazoa; Chordata; Mammalia; Rodentia; Sciuridae. The record is from RefSeq and is a predicted model, not a curated record.